AGGUUGGUUUUUCCCCCCCUAAAUAUAUUUAUGCAAUUAUUAUGUGCAUAUCAAGUGGAUACAUGUUAAAUGGUGAGAUGGGUGGUAAUCCAUUUCUCAGCCCAUUAUUGUUAAUGGUGGCUGCUUUCUGGUGAACUUAAUCAAGAAGCAAAACAAAAACACUUUUUUUUUUUUUUGAGAUCAAAAGGAUGAUUCAAGGGGGCUUAUUAAAUUAUUUAGUUGCAACCUUAUGAUGGUAAUGAUGUUUACUUAAUUUGUUUAAUCAGAGGUGAAUGGUGCAAAAUAAAUCAUGGGUAUUAUCAAUCAGUUCCAGUUACUGCUUUAUCAAAAUUUGUUUUGCAUUACAUAGUUGCAUGUAAAAUAACUAAACAUGCUACAUGGUCAUGGCUGCAACAGUUGUAAUUUAACAAUAGAUUCUAGUUUUGUCUAAAAUACUGAAAGACUUGCUAAAUGUGUAAUCUAACAUAAAAAAGAAAUUUUGGGAAUAUACUACACCAUGUUUAUUUAUAAUUGCCCUUGGUUAUGCAAUAUGCAUAUGCUUGAUUCAUGAAUUGUGCACUGUUAGCAUGUAUAACCAUGUCUCCUUUGCUCUGUGCCAUUUAUAUCUAGUGCGUCAUAAGAAAACGAGUGUUGUGGUUCCCACAUUUGAUGUGUUGUAUAUGAUUAUUGAACCUUAAUAUUGUGAGGAGAUAAGUGAACCUUAAUACCUGAUGUUUGACUUGUGCUUCUAAUUGUGCUUCAGGAUGUCAUGAUUCUUGACCAAUCAGUGUUUUUUGGAGUGGCUGAUAUUCAUGAUAGGCAUAGGGAUAUGCGGCUUGAUGUUGAUAACAUGUCAUAUGAGGAGUUGUUGGCCUUGGAAGAGCGUAUUGGAAAUGUUAGUACUGGAUUGAGUGAAGAAACUAUCUUAAACCGGCUAAAGCAGCGGAAAUAUUCUGUUGCAGUAAGGACUGAGGUGGAUGCGGAACCUUGUUGCGUUUGU
Molecule: unclassified non-coding RNA, 979 nt
Filed under: Hevea brasiliensis (rubber tree)
Lineage: Eukaryota; Viridiplantae; Streptophyta; Magnoliopsida; Malpighiales; Euphorbiaceae
Source: RNAcentral